This is a long non-coding RNA of Mesocricetus auratus (golden hamster), 5109 nucleotides long. RefSeq lists it as uncharacterized. The record is from RefSeq and is a predicted model, not a curated record. NCBI's taxonomy places the organism in Eukaryota, Metazoa, Chordata, Mammalia, Rodentia, Cricetidae. The transcript is spliced from 2 exons.
GAGAGAGAGAGAGAGAGAGAGAGAGAGAGAGAGAGAGAAAGAAAGGGAGAAAUUCAUUCUUCAAAGCCUUUCAAAGGUCUCCAUAGAGAAGGGGAUGUAUGUCAGUGCUACAAAGCUUGCCUAGUAUGUCUGAGGCUCCGGGUUUGUUGUACCCAGUUUGCGGGACCCCAAAAAGGCUACCAAGGAACCGACUCACCAAUGCAAAUGCACAAGGUUUAUUGUUAAGCUACAAGCUUAGUCAGGGACCCUGUCCAGCAAACUGGAGCAACAGCUACAGGAAAAGGGCGCCUGGCCUCAAUUACAAUGGGUUUAUAAAGAAAAAAACCACAAGCGAGGUGCUUCGUGCCUCGGCUGUUCAGGACUGGGUAAGAGUAGGUGACCCUUGGAUUCAUUAACUGGGGUCUAGGAGAAUUUCAAAGUUGUUGCUAACAGUUGCCCACAAGGACAUUUGUGGCUAGCAUAUGUUGUUUAUCAGAGUUAGUCAUUGUUUGUCAUUUUGGACCUGGGCAGACACAGUUUGUGGGGGUUGUUUUAUAUAUAUAAAUGUUAUUUAAAUUAGAAGCAAUCUUAUUUUACGUAUCAAUCCCAGGUCCCUCUGUCUCCCAUCCUCAUAUGACCCCCACCGACCCCCCCCAUUCCACUCCCAUUACCUCUCCAGGGAGGGUGAAGCCUUCCGUGGAGAAUCAUCAAAGUCUAUUACAUCAUUUCAGGCAGGACCUAGUCCCCCCACCCCCAUUUAAUGUAUGCUGAGAGACUAUUCUCCAUAGGUAAUGGGCUCCCAAAGUCCAUUUGUGCACUAGGGAUAAAUACUGGUUCCACUGCCAGAGGCCCCAUAGACUGCCCAGGCCUCCUAACUGACAACCACAUUCAGGGGGCCUGGUUUGGUCCUAUUGGUUCCCCAGCUGCCAGACUGGGGUUCAUCAGUUUGUAGUUCUUUCUUAGAACUGUUUAUAGCUCCUUGACUGGAGUUGAAUCAGCCUUGUGCCAUGCAGGGAAUUUCUCAAGGUGGCUUUUUCUUAGGGUGGAGUUUACCCUGCUCUCUCAGGUUCAACGCAAAAGUAGAGCAGACUACUGAAAAUAAAUAAAAAUAAAUAAAUGUUGGAUGCAGUAGCAGAUGUUCUCAAAAGACUGCAUUCUCAUAUUCAGGUGACAUCUUUGGUCCAGCAUUCAUUUUACUAUUGUGCCCUUCGAGUAUGUAUCUAUUAAUUUUCGAAAAAAAUCUCAGAGUAAAAUCUUUAAAGAGAGAACAGCUAGAUGGCUCAGUGCAAAGCAGUGUUUGUCACCAGGCCUGAUUAGAUAGAUUUGAUCUCUGGGACCAACAUGGUGGAAGGAGAGAACCAAGUCUUGCAAGUUGUCCUACGUCAUCUACUCCUGUACCAUGGUAGGCAUGCCCUACCUGCAAACAUCUUGCUGAAGACGAAGAUUUUUAACACAUGGGUCACUGGGGGAUUGUCUAAACCCAAACAACAGCCAAGAGAAAAUAGACAACCUAACUGAUGGGUUUUCUGUAGUUACCUUCAUGCUAUUAUGAUUGUCUGAUUUAGUGAGCAUAUCUUAUAAGAGGAAAGUUUCAUGAGAAUGGAGAGAGUUAAGCAGUGUGCUGCUCUUUCUAGGAUCCGAGUUUGCGCCCUUCAACCCACAUCAAGAGACUCUCAGCCACCUGUGACCCCAGCUCUGGGUGAUCUGAUGCCUCUUAUUAAGGAGGUAGCCAUUCUAAGAACACAGGUGUUUCCUUGAUACUUCUUAGCAGGGAAAGCAGUCAGACAACACAGGCAUAGGCAUUCCUCGUGGUAAUAACCUGGGGAUAUGGGUUAUUUUUCUGAUUUUUAUUUUCAUCAGGUUUUGAUUGUGGUACAGCAGACAGGUGUGGAGGAGAGGAAUAAGAGGAGAGGAGGCAGGUAAGCAUGCAGGUAAACAAGUUUUCGAGUUAGCAUUGAUCUGAUUCGAAAUGUAAUAGAAUACAUAAUAGUUUAUCACUAGUUUAGCUACAAUCUCAAUGUAACAAACAUUGCAAGAAGUUAAAGAUCCAACUUCAAAAACCACAGAAGCUGGAAAAAUGAAUGGAAAAGAAAGGGAGAGGCAAUAGUUUUGUCUUGUGUUCCAUGGCUUGGAAUUGAACUUGCGGCAAAUAGGAUGUGAGCGACUUAGUUAAAAACUACACUUGGAAGCAGCAGCAGGGCAGGCGCUGGCGAAACCAGAAGUCUCACCAGGCUGCAGCCGGAAAGGCAGAUUGAGGGGUGGCAGGGCCACAAGCAGUAGUGAAAAUGUCAGUGAGCUCAGGUGCAGCCUCUAUGUGUCCUGGAAAGCAACAGCGGCUAAUAGAGUUGCUGCUCCAGCAGAGGACUCAAGUUUGGUUCCCAGUGCCAGUGUCGUGUAACUCCAGCUGCAGGGAUUAAACCUCCUUUUGUUGAACUCUUUGGGCACACCCAGAGACACAUAAAUGAAAAUGAUACAUAAAACUUAAAAAUGAAAUGCUGUCCACGAACAAAACGGCCGGCCCAUCUCAGCGCCCCUGCCCACGUGGUUGUCUUGUUCAUCCAAGGUUUCGAUAUGCUGUUUCUGACAUCCAGUGCUGGUGAUUCAGUCCGCAGUUACAGUUGCCAAUAUGAACAAGCAAACCAAAACCUCAACACAUUUCCGCCCCCUACUGGUGACUCUAAAUACAAAACAGAAAAGGAAGUUUUGGACUGUGCCAGGGAAGCAGGAUUGACAUGGAAUUCUCUAUGCACCUGGCCUGUGUGACUGAUGUGCUUGAUACCCACUUCCUUCCCCACGCAGGUGAUUCUAGAACGUCCUCUCUUUCAAACGGAAGUCGUCCACAGAAGACUGAGACAUAGAAAGCGAAUGGCAACAGCAUAACUGCCAACCUAAAAGAUAAAACUAUUCGAUUAUUGCAGCUUCUCCUAUUGUUUUAUUAAAACAUAAAUCUUUGGAGUCAGGUAAUAGGGAAUAAACCCGAAAGAUCCCUGGAGAAAUGGAGAAAUGAUCGCCUCAUGCUCUUCUCCAUCUCUGCCAAGUGAAAAAAGCCACACAUCCCGUUCAGCCCCUCCUUAUUCCACCUGAGCGUCCCUCCGUCUUUCUCUGAGUCUGCCAGGAAAGUGUAUGGUCCACUCCAUCCAGCUGAAGGUGGACUCUGGCCUCCAAACCAAUGUUCAACUCCAUUGGCCAUCUUGAAACGACAGCAUGAAGAAAUCUCCUGCAACACUGGAUAGCAGUUUUUAAAAUAGAGGCCAUCUCUGAAGGAACUAAGGCCGUCUUCACUGAAGCACAGCCAUGUCCAGACAACUUGGACCAUGACUCCAUGGAUCAAUGUUAAAACUCUGAACUUUUGAAGUCUUAAUAGAACAAUAGUAUAGGAAUGGAGAGAGAAAUAUGAAACAUUUUUUAGAUUUUUAAUAGAUCUCAAAACAUUUUCUCAGACCCUCACGAUUUGUAUCAGCUUUCUUGGACCUUAGUAACUUUCAUUUACAUAACUUACGUGACUUUCUUAGACCAUCGUAACUUGUUUAAGCUGUUAUAUCCUUAGAGCUUUACAUUUUGCAUACUAAUUCACCUUCCUAGAUCCCUAUAACCUUUAUAUAAACUCUAAUUUUUCUCCAGUUAUUUAUUACAGGGCAUAGGUGGUUGAUUACUGGUUGAAAAGCAUUUGUUUUGAAAUAAAAGAGUAGUAAAAUUACAUUGAAACAGGUUUUGUAAGUUGACCUCUUCUAGUGUGGAGCCUGACAGCAAGGUAAACUAUCUAAGUUUGCAUUCUUUUAGCAUAAGAUCUAGCAGCACAGGGAAAAGCAAGGCCUGGCUUUUGCUGAUGCAGGGCAUUUAUCAAGCAGCUGCAGCCAUGGGGGGGGCUGAAUGCUUGCUGUUUUUAAUGAAAAAUAGGCACAGUUAGCCAGAAACACCAUCAGAGAUGUUUUGAACAAAUUUGAGCAGGAAAAUACAAAGAGGCUAGACAUAUAUCCUUAAGUUGGGAUUUACAAACCUUAUUUAUCAAAUAUAUUUUGUUUAUUAAACAUACGUUAUUUUUAGCCACAAUUUUUAUUUUUGGGACAAAAGUCAUAUAAAAAAAUCCAUCCUAAUCCAAAAUCUCUUGGAGACCUGCUGUUGCUUCCUUAGUCUAAAAGAGGAGAAAAUACGAAACUGUGUUUUAGGUUACAUAGAAGCACACAGUAGCAGAUUAAGAUUAUCCAUGUAUAGAAUUUUAGUAAUUAAACUUUUUAAACAAGUGUUAGGAUGACUUUAUUGUUUGGAGUUUUAAAAGUCACUCUCCACCACACAUUGGUCUUACAGGUCCUGAGAGAAAGAAAGGUUACAUUCUAGCCAGAGUUUUGAAUAUCCAUGACCUCUAAUGGCUAAACAUCGAUAUAAGCAAGGACCAGGAAAGUCGGAAGAAGUUGAAGAGCUGGACAUAUGCUGGUUACAUUUAGCUAGCCUAACUUUUACAUGAAUUAUUUUUGAUAAAAUCAUUUAAGUAACAUGAGACACAAUGGUAACAAAUACAUUACCAUUUGUUGUAGGAAAUUUUACCUAAGGGGGUGUAGACACUAUCUAGAGCCUUUGCCCAGUAUAUACGGCAGCUUGCGGUUGUUCCACAGACCGUCUUCCUCAUUCUUUGUUCUUUUCCUGUAUAACUCACUUUCUCCAGAAAACACUGGGGCAUCAUGCAAGUAGGCCCUAAUCGUGUACAUUCAGCUGGGAGGGAUGACUGGAUACCUAGAUCAAGGUCCAAUGACAUGGUUUGUCCCCUUUUUGAAGGAAUAUUAACUUUUAGGAAGACUAGCUCUGACUCUUAUGAACAGGCAUAUCUAGAGUUUGCAAAGACAUUUUAGACAGAUUUUAUUUAAUUUUAUACCUAGUCUGUGUGUGCCUGGAGAUUGAGGCAGACAACCUGAAAAUCUUAGAAAGAAUUUUUUUUCUUAUAAAGUUCUCAAGUUGCAGAAUAAUGUAAGUAUCUGUAACCUAGAGGCCUUUAAACAGAAAACUAUAAAAACCAGACAUCUACAGAAACUCAAAAUAUGUUGACAUCAGAUUGUUGUUGCUUUUGAAUUGAUUUUGAACCAUAUUUAAUAAGUGUAUAAACCUGAAAGAACAGAGAGUUUAUAUUUUCAUUUUAAA